This 170-nucleotide ribosomal RNA is filed under the name uncultured bacterium. Its description in RNAcentral is "partial 16S ribosomal RNA". It matches the Rfam family "Bacterial small subunit ribosomal RNA", at positions 169 to 334 of the family's 1533-position model. The record is from RNAcentral.
CCGGAUAACAUAUAGAACCGCAUGGUUCUAUAGUGAAAGAUGGUUUUGCUAUCACUUAUAGAUGGACCCGCGCCGUAUUAGCUAGUUGGUAAGGUAAUGCUUACCAAGGCGACGAUACGUAGCCGACCUGAGAGGGUGAUCGGCCACACUGGAACUGAGACACGGUCCAG